GCCCGCCAUAACAGUGGCGGGUGCAGUUUCUUUUCUGAGGAGAUUCACAUGGCACAGGGAACCGUGAAGUGGUUCAACGCCGAAAAGGGCUUCGGCUUUAUUACUCCGGACGAUUCCGACGGCGACGUCUUCGUCCACUACUCCGAGAUCCAGUCCAACGGCUUCAAGACCCUCGACGAGAACCAGCGCGUUGAGUUCGAGAUCGGCCAGGGCGCCAAGGGCCCGCAGGCCACCGGCGUCACCGCCCUCUGAUUCAUCUGCAGCGCCGCCUGUCGGCGCGGUUCG
RNAcentral lists this unclassified non-coding RNA (285 nucleotides) under Arthrobacter saudimassiliensis. Its description in RNAcentral is "cspA". Lineage: Bacteria; Bacillati; Actinomycetota; Actinomycetes; Micrococcales; Micrococcaceae. The record is from RNAcentral.